RNAcentral lists this ribosomal RNA (455 nucleotides) under uncultured bacterium. RNAcentral describes it as "bacterial SSU rRNA". It matches the Rfam family "Bacterial small subunit ribosomal RNA", at positions 923 to 1379 of the family's 1533-position model. The record is from RNAcentral.
GCACAAGCGGUGGAGCAUGUGGUUUAAUUCGACGCAACGCGAAGAACCUUACCUGGGCUUGACAUGUUGGUGACCGCCGUGGAAACACGGUUUUCCUUCGGGACACCAUCACAGGUGGUGCAUGGCUGUCGUCAGCUCGUGUCGUGAGAUGUUGGGUUAAGUCCCGCAACGAGCGCAACCCCCGUUCCAUGUUGCCAUCAUUAAGUUGGGGACUCAUGGGAGACUGCCGGUGACAAACCGGAGGAAGGUGGGGAUGACGUCAAGUCAUCAUGCCCCUUAUGUCCAGGGCUACACACGUGCUACAUUGGCGCAUACAAAGGGCAGCAAUACCGCGAGGUGGAGCAAAUCCCAGAAAGUGCGCCUCGGUUCGGAUUGGAGGCUGAAACUCGCCUCCAUGAAGGUGGAGUUGCUAGUAAUCGCGGAUCAGCAAUGCCGCGGUGAAUACGUUCCCGGGC